Girardinichthys multiradiatus is the source of this 1350-nucleotide RNA transcript. It is a transcript of the gene named PCNA clamp associated factor, with no coding region annotated. The transcript is spliced from 5 exons. NCBI's taxonomy places the organism in Eukaryota, Metazoa, Chordata, Actinopteri, Cyprinodontiformes, Goodeidae. The record is from RefSeq and is a predicted model, not a curated record.
AGAAAUCUCCCGCCCCAUCCGUAGAUGGUUUUAAACAGAGGCGGGACGCUUUUUCUGUACUCGGUGUAAUUUCAUCUGAAACAUCAAUUUAUUGCACAGGUUCGCCGCCAGCAUGGUGAGGACUAAGGCCGACAGCGUUCCUGCAUCAUACAGAAAAGCUGUUGCAGCUUCUGCACCUCGAAAGUCGCUGGGCUCCAGUUCGGCGAACGUGUCAUCACCAUCCAGCAGCAACUCGUCCACUCUGGCAAAGAACAAAUAUGCGGGUGGAAACCCUGUGUGUCCCCGGCCCACCCCUACCUGGCAGAAAGGCAUUGGGGACUUCUUCGGCGGGCCUCCCAGAAAGUUUGAGAAGGAGAACCAGAACCCCACAGAGUCGGAUGAGGAGGAGGCCGGCGGCAGCGGGAUGUCAAAGGCCAGCAGGAACCUUGACCUGCAUCGUUUUGGCACGCUCUGCAUCUCUGCCAACUCCUACAAAUGAUUUUCCGAAGAAUCUUUCUCAUCAAGUGAAAUUAUCCAAGUUACACUGAGAGGCGGCUGAGAAAAGAGGCAUUUAUUUGUCAUUUAUCUGUCUGUAAAAGGUCCAAGCCUCUGCCCGCUGAGGAUGAGGAGGAAGACGACUGAGCCUGUCCGCAGUCUCGAUACAGGAGGGACUUUUAAUGUACAUCUGUAUAUAUUUUCUACUGAAUUCUGUUGUAAAGUUCAUUAAACGUGACUUUAUUUUUUAAGCCAUGCAGAGAGGCAGGAAUGUUUCAGUGAUCGGUGCAUCAUUUUCUGUCCAGCUAUUUUUUUUUUAUUAAAGAUUAACCAUUAACUGUAUGUUUUAAUACUUUUUACUCAAUUCUUUACUUCUGUCACAUGCUGAAUAACAACUUGUGGAUCAAAUCCUAACUGACCCAUUUGUGUCUUCUCUGUGCUAUCUUUUGUUUCUUCCCCUGCUUUUUGAGAACUUACCUCAGUGUGGUGCUGAUCCAAAAAUGUAAUCUUCUGAAUUUUGAGCUACCUUAUCACUAGACUUGUACGGAGUGCUUCAUCAUUUAAAAAAAAAAAAAAACAGAUAAUUAAACUCCCUUGGUUGUUUUAAGAACUGGGCUUAUUGUAGCUCUCAGCCUUUCUUCUCCAGAACUUUGCACCAGGUGUCUCCCUGUGCUUCAUGCAGACCUCCAGUCUGUCCUUCACAGUUGUUUAGGACAGAAGUGGUUUUCUUGCUUUCCUUUUUGGAUAACCUGAGAAGUCAGGUUGCUGGUGGUUUAAAAAAAAAAAAAAAAAAGACACUGGCUGAUGUUCCUUCAUUUUUGUCCUUUUAAAGCUUUUUGUCAUAAACAUCUGCAAUAAACUGCUCAUUUAAAAUGA